CUGGCCUUGACAUGUACCGAAUUUAGCAGAGAUGCUUUAGUGCUCGAAAGAGAACGGUAACACAGGUGCUGCAUGGCUGUCGUCAGCUCGUGUCGUGAGAUGUUGGGUUAAGUCCCGCAACGAGCGCAACCCUUGCCAUUAAUUGCCAUCAUUUAGUUGGGCACUUUAAUGGGACUGCCGGUGACAAACCGGAGGAAGGUGGGGAUGACGUCAAGUCCUCAUGGCCCUUAUGGCCAGGGCUUCACACGUAAUACAAUGGUCGGUACAGAGGGUUGCCAACCCGCGAGGGGGAGCCAAUCCCAGAAAGCCGAUCGUAGUCCGGAUUGUAGUCUGCAACUCGACUGCAUGAAGUCGGAAUCGCUAGUAAUCGCGGAUCAGCAUGUCGCGGUGAAUACGUUCCC
RNAcentral lists this ribosomal RNA (401 nucleotides) under uncultured Pseudomonadota bacterium. Its description in RNAcentral is "bacterial SSU rRNA". It matches the Rfam family "Bacterial small subunit ribosomal RNA", at positions 975 to 1375 of the family's 1533-position model. The record is from RNAcentral. Lineage: Bacteria; Pseudomonadati; Pseudomonadota.